This 1075-nucleotide ribosomal RNA is filed under the name Pseudoshiraia conidialis. RNAcentral's name for it is "SSU rRNA". It matches the Rfam family "Eukaryotic small subunit ribosomal RNA", at positions 50 to 1134 of the family's 1831-position model. The record is from RNAcentral. Lineage: Eukaryota; Fungi; Ascomycota; Dothideomycetes; Pleosporales; Shiraiaceae.
CAGGGCAUGGUCUAAGGUAUAAGGCAAUUAUACCGUGAAACUGCGAAUGGCUCAUUAAAUCAGUUAUCGUUUAUUUGAUAGUACCUUACUACUUGGAUAACCGUGGUAAUUCUAGAGCUAAUACAUGCUUACAACCUCGACUUCGGAAGGGGUGUAUUUAUUAGAUAAAAAACCAACGCCCUUCGGGGCUUCUUGGUGAUUCAUGAUAACUUUACGGAUCGCAUGGCCUUGCGCCGGCGACGGUUCAUUCAAAUUUCUGCCCUAUCAACUUUCGAUGGUAAGGUAUUGGCUUACCAUGGUUUCAACGGGUAACGGGGAAUUAGGGUUCGAUUCCGGAGAGGGAGCCUGAGAAACGGCUACCACAUCCAAGGAAGGCAGCAGGCGCGCAAAUUACCCAAUCCCAAUACGGGGAGGUAGUGACAAUAAAUACUGAUACAGGGCUCUUUUGGGUCUUGUAAUUGGAAUGAGUACAAUUUAAACCUCUUAACGAGGAACAAUUGGAGGGCAAGUCUGGUGCCAGCAGCCGCGGUAAUUCCAGCUCCAAUAGCGUAUAUUAAAGUUGUUGCAGUUAAAAAGCUCGUAGUUGAACCUUGGGUCUGGCUGGCAGGUCCGCCUCACCGCGUGUACUUGUCCGGCCGGGCCUUCCUUCUGGAGAACCUCAUGCCCUUCACUGGGCGUGUUGGGGACCAGGACUUUUACUUUGAAAAAAUUAGAGUGUUCAAAGCAGGCCUUUGCUCGAAUACGUUAGCAUGGAAUAAUAGAAUAGGACGUGCGGUCCUAUUUUGUUGGUUUCUAGGACCGCCGUAAUGAUUAAUAGGGACAGUCGGGGGCAUCAGUAUUCAAUUGUCAGAGGUGAAAUUCUUGGAUUUAUUGAAGACUAACUACUGCGAAAGCAUUUGCCAAGGAUGUUUUCAUUAAUCAGUGAACGAAAGUUAGGGGAUCGAAGACGAUCAGAUACCGUCGUAGUCUUAACCGUAAACUAUGCCGACUAGGGAUCGGGCGAUGUUAUUUUUCUGACUCGCUCGGCACCUUACGAGAAAUCAAAGUUUUGGUUCUGGGGGGAGUAUUCCCCCCG